GCCCGCCUAGCUCAAUCGGAUAGAGCGUCAGACUUUUAUCUAGGGCGGAAUCUGAAGGCUGCGAGUUCGACCCUCGCGGUGGGCU
Mycena capillaripes is the source of this 85-nucleotide non-coding RNA. The record is from the annotation of a GenBank genome assembly. Lineage: Eukaryota; Fungi; Basidiomycota; Agaricomycetes; Agaricales; Mycenaceae.